Molecule: long non-coding RNA, 659 nt
Organism: Sander lucioperca (pikeperch)
Lineage: Eukaryota; Metazoa; Chordata; Actinopteri; Perciformes; Percidae
Exons: 2
Source: RefSeq, a predicted model, not a curated record
UCGCUCAACUAGCUAACGUUACUGAGCUAGCUAGCUAGUUAGUCUUAUAAACAUAGUGAUAGAUAAUUGAAAUAACGCUAUUUAUUUUUCACUAUUUUGUCAUUAACAGAAUUGUCUAUUAGUUAAACCUGAGUAAGAAUUCUUACUAAUAGACAGUACUCAACCUAACCACUAUUGUUGCCUUUUAUCGGUGUGUGGGGUUGCCUGUUCAAAUAAUAUUAGGUAACGUUAUGGGUAACCACAGUGGUAACAAUGUAACGUUAAACAUACCCAGUUUACUCUUAUAUAGGACCAAGAAAAGCAUGGAAUCCGCAUAUUUGAGAAGCCGGAACAAGCAAAUGUUUGGUAUUUGUGCUUGGGAAAUUCAAAUUACCCAAGAGAGUAAUUUAUUAUCUGAAUAGAUGUCAGUGUCUUAUCUGUAGACCCACUAAUACAAUUAUCGACCAGUUCAUUUCAGCUUUAAUGUGUGCCAUUUCAAUUUUAAUGACUGAUGAGACAUUGCCUUCAUGAUGCAGUUUUUUGUGAGGAAUUUAAUUUACCAGUAAUUGGAUUUAAAUCAUAAACAUAAAGUCCGAGGUAGAGGUAGGCUGAGGUGAAUACUUUUUGCAGGUACUGAGUGUUUUUACAGCACAAUGCAGUGAUAUUGGUGCUGACAUUUG